Molecule: microRNA, 21 nt
Filed under: Sorghum bicolor (sorghum)
Lineage: Eukaryota; Viridiplantae; Streptophyta; Magnoliopsida; Poales; Poaceae
Description: sbi-miR5564c-5p
Source: miRBase by way of RNAcentral
AAUUCGUCGAACAGCUGCAGC